CUGUGCGAAAACGCGCCUGAGAGGGGGACACCCUACGAAAGAGACUAUAUUAUAGCGUAUACGAUGUGGGGAUGAGAGGGGGAGCUCUUCGGCUCUUGUGCUAAGAGAGCGCUAGAUAUGUUUUUAUAUAGGGGGGGGGGUAGGCGCCCCUCGGGGAGAAUAUCAAUAGGUGGUGUGAGAGUGCUCCCACACACUGUGACUGAGACACACGCCACACACCUCCACGAGAGAGAAGAGGGGAAAAUUGUGCAAUGGGGGAAAAACCCUGACCCAGAUGCGGCGUGUGUGUGAAAAGGCUCCUCGUUGUGAAGAACUUUUUUGUCGGGGAAAAAAACGCUGGGUAUUAUACCCGCAUCUGCUGAGGGCCUCUGAAAAAUACACCCCGUCUAUCUACGUGCCAGCACGCGCGAAAAUACGUAGGGCGCGAGCGAAUAUCGAAUUACACUGGGUAUAAAGCGCGCGCAGGGGUUGAUAUAAGUCUGAUGAGAAAUCCCCCGCUCUCAACCUGGAAAUCUGCAUUGGAGACUGUAAACUAUAGAGUGUGUCAGAGGGGGGGUAGAAUUCCACGUGUAGCAGUGAAAUGCGUAGAUAUGUGAGAGAACAUACCGAUG
This 611-nucleotide ribosomal RNA is filed under the name bacterium. RNAcentral's name for it is "partial 16S ribosomal RNA". It matches the Rfam family "Bacterial small subunit ribosomal RNA", at positions 113 to 714 of the family's 1533-position model. The record is from RNAcentral.